GUGGGGAAUUUUGGACAAUGGGCGAAAGCCUGAUCCAGCCAUGCCGCGUGAACGAUGAAGGCCUUCGGGUUGUAAAGUUCUUUAGCCGAUGAUUAUAAUGACUGUAGUCGGAAAAUAAGCCCCGGCUAACUUCGUGCCAGCAGCCGCGGUAAUACGAAGGGGGCGAGCGUUAUUCGGAAUCACUGGGCGUAAAGCGUGCGUAGGCGGUUUUGUAAGUUAGGAGUGAAAGCCCAGGGCUCAACCUUGGAAUUGCUCUUAAAACUGCAAGGCUCGAAUCUCGGAGAGGAUAGCGGAAUUUCCAGUGUAGCAGUGAAAUGCGUAGAUAUUGGAAGGAACACCAGUGGCGUAAGCGGCUAUCUGGACGAGUAUUGACGCUGAGGCACGAAAGCGUGGGGAUCAAACAGGAUUAGAUACCCGUGUAGUCC
RNAcentral lists this ribosomal RNA (425 nucleotides) under uncultured bacterium. Its description in RNAcentral is "bacterial SSU rRNA". It matches the Rfam family "Bacterial small subunit ribosomal RNA", at positions 354 to 796 of the family's 1533-position model. The record is from RNAcentral.